RNAcentral lists this ribosomal RNA (503 nucleotides) under uncultured bacterium. RNAcentral describes it as "partial 16S ribosomal RNA". It matches the Rfam family "Bacterial small subunit ribosomal RNA", at positions 30 to 523 of the family's 1533-position model. The record is from RNAcentral.
AUUGAACGCUGGCGGCAGGCUUAACACAUGCAAGUCGAGCGGGGUGAUGGUGCUUGCACUAUCACUUAGCGGCGGACGGGUGAGUAAUGCUUAGGAAUCUGCCUAUUAGUGGGGGACAACAUCUCGAAAGGGAUGCUAAUACCGCAUACGUCCUACGGGAGAAAGCAGGGGAUCACUUGUGACCUUGCGCUAAUAGAUGAGCCUAAGUCGGAUUAGCUAGUUGGUGGGGUAAAGGCCUACCAAGGCGACGAUCUGUAGCGGGGCUGAGAGGAUGAUCCGCCACACUGGGACUGAGACACGGCCCAGACUCCUAGUGGAGGCAGCAGUGGGGAAUAUUGGACAAUGGGGGGAACCCUGAUCCAGCCAUGCCGCGUGUGUGAAGAAGGCCUUAUGGUUGUAAAGCACUUUAAGCGAGGAGGAGGCUCUUUUGGUUAAUACCCAAGAUGAGUGGACGUUACUCGCAGAAUAAGCACCGGCUAACUCUGUGCCAGCCGCCGCGGUAA